AUAUAAGAGAAAAGGAGAUAGAUAUUAUGAUCUUUUAAAUGGAAUUCUUCAUUUAGGUACAAUUUAGUAGCUUGUCCUUCUGGUCAGUGAUUAGGUAUUCAACCUUUACAAGUUCCCAUUUCUGUGGAGUACAGGCUAGAAGCACCACAAUAAUGAGAUAUUUCCAUUAUUCAGAUGAAAUGGCGGUAGUUUGGACCGUGUAAUUGACACUAACAGAGUUAUAAAACACAUCCAAGAUUGCAAAAUGCAGUUCUCCUAUAUAAAUGGAAAAAGCAACAAUUCAUUAAUCCAAUUAUCCAACUAUUAAUAAUUAGCGCUAGAAGAACUCUAACAACAUUGUAUCAGUCCGAAUAUUCAACUAUUGGUACUUAGCUUUAGAAUAACUCCAACAACAUUUUGCCAAUUCAAGUAUCCAAUUAUUAAAACCCGGCAUGAGAAUAACUCUUAACAGCACUAACUAUUAAUAUUUAGCAUUAGAAUAACAACAUUUCACUAAGCAAGGGAAUAUAUAUAUAUAACAUUGCAUGGAGAUUAAUGCAUCAGACAAGGGCUUACCAAAAAGUAAAAGGGAGAAAAGGAAAGCAUCAGACAAGGGAUUAUUGUUUUCCUAGUUGUGGGUAAAAACAUUCAUGUCAAGCCAAGGAGGAGUUGAUGACCAGAUGAGACUUGCUGAAAGAUGUGCAGACAAAUGUUGACUCUUCUCUGAAUAUACCAAAGAAGGAUAUGGGAUCGAGCCUAUUUUCUAGGAUAAACAGGCUAAACAUGUAUACACCGAGGCUCAAAAUUCCAAGAUGAAGUAUAUGGAAGUAUUGGAAUUGAUGGAAAUUUGGAGUGGCUGAAUUUGCAGUAGAUGAAAUGGGUUUUGAAGAAUAUGGUCCAGAUCGUGUCGAAUAACUGCUUUGGAAUAACUGAACAGGAAUUGUGAUUGGAAUGGAGACUUGUUCCAUUAUUGGAAGAAGUCAUCUUGAUGCAAAGCUUGAUCAGACAAAAUAUCACGCAUUCAAGGGGAAGGGAAUGACCCUAUGAGCAUGCCAGAUAGCUGAGGAAGAACAUAGACUACUCUGAGAUAGAAGGAGAGCAUUCCUUUUCAACUCUUGCCCCCUGGUCACUGGUCCCGGAGGAUCUAGCAAACACUUGUUUUAGGAGGCUCUAUCUUAUUUAACCAUAUGACAGAGUUAUCAGCAAGAAUGAAAACAAAAGAAACUCCAGAAGUCAAAAAACAUGCUACAAAUUGACUCCAUGACUAAGUAAUUCUAUGGAUCUAGCUACCACCUCAGCAGAAAACUGAGAAGUCAAACAUAAAUAGAUUACAGUUUCAAAAAGUGAGACUUUUCGAAACCUGCUGAGGAUGGGGCUCUGACAAAUAACUAGAAUGAAUCAUUACUUCCAUAAACCUCGUAUUGCAAAGCCAAUCUACAAGAAGAAUCAUAGCUUUUAUUUAUCACUUCAAGUCAUCUAUAUGGUCUUCGCUCACUCCAAAGUCCAAAAUAAAUGAGAUGACAAAACAUCUAUAAGAUAAAUACAAAGUUACCAGAGAUUACGACUAUAGUACAAAUGCUAUGGAUGUAUAACUUUGUAUAACCGUUUCUAAUUUCAUGAAAUAAAUGACUACCUAUCUGGAUUAUUUCUAUAACAUUUACAUCUACAUUUCCAGUGGAAUCAACAGGGAAUCCAUAUAUCCAUAGAAAACACUAAUAGGAUUUUUUGAAGCAAAGCCACAAUGUUUGGUAUGUAAAAUGCAACUAUGAACUGAUCCAAGCAACAUUCAUCAACACAUUCCAGUGAUCAAUAUCAAGACAUGAAACGCGGACUCACCUAACAAAAACUAACUGUGUCAAAAACUAAACCUCCCUCACCUUCAUAUGAAAAUCUCUAAAACUAAGGAACAUACAGUUCUUCACAAACACUUCUCAAACUCUAAAUUUACUGCUAAACAUCUGAUCAAAAUAACAUUGCAGUGUCCUACAAAUACCUUGAAGUUAUUAAAAUACAAAAACAUAAAACUAAUUUCUAGAUAUUUAAGAGAAAAUAGUUUCUCAAAGAAGAGAAAAAAAGCGGCUCUCCACUAGAUUAAUAAAUUAAGCUUUAAACUGAAGUAUGUUGCAGGGCCAGAUCCAACCCCCAACCCAAGAAUUACAUAUAAAAAGUUUGCAAUGAAAAAAAAAAGGAGUAACCCAACAUAAAUUGCAUAGACUUGUGAAAAGAGAAGUAUCCAGAGCUAGGAAGUUUAAAUAAAAUUUGAACAAGUGACGUAAAAAGAUAAUAGAGAUGAGAAAGAUACCAUCUCAGAUUCGUUGAUAACAUCAAGACCAAGAAGUUGAAUGAUAAGUUCCUCGUUUAUUUGAUAGUUAAAUCAACAUCCAAACAGUUUAGUUCACAUUAAGUGAUCCCAAAACCAUUCUAAGGUCAUUGUUUGAAAGACAGAAGGUGAAAUUGAAUGAUAAGUCCCUCAAUUAUUUGUUACUUACUUCAAGACCUAAGAAUUCGUGUUCCCCGUACAGUGACCCCAUAACCAUUGUGGGUCACUAUAUGAAACAUGAGAGGCAAAUUUGAAUAAUAAGACCUUCUGUUAUUCACUUAUUACACCAAGAACCAAAACUACAGAUGCCAAUAUAAUGACCCCAUAACCAUUCUUUGAGAACUAUAUGAAGCAUGGAAGCUGAAAUUGAAGGAUAAGUCCCUCUGUGAUUCAUUCAUGACAUCAAGACCCAAAAAUCUGUGCACCUAUAGUGGCCAAAAAGACCCUCCAUUAUUCGUUAAUUGCAUCAAGAUCCAAAUACCUGUGAUCCCAUGCCGUGACCCAAGAAUCAUUUUAGGGUCACUAUAUGAAACAUGGGAGGUAACUGAACAAUGCGUUCUUUUUUUGGUUUAGGGUCAUGACAACCUUUCCCAUACACAGCUCUGUGUGUGUUUGUCUCUGUGUGUAUAGGGGAGAGAAAGAGGGAGGCAGGGGUUUAUCAUUAUUUUUAUUUCUAUGUAUAUGAUGCCAAAAAUAGGCUGAUUUGAUACUUAUUAGUUGGAUAUUGCUUUACAGGACUUUUGAGGUAUGUUCCUUGACUUGCUCUAUCUCCCUCCACGGCUGCAAAACUCCUUGGUUACUUGCAUAAGCUCAUGUUUCCUCAGAUAUGAGUCUUGGGAUUAAAAUAUUAAAUCACUUGUCUUAUUAGAGUUUCUUUUCAUCCCAGAAAAACAAAAUCAAUGUUGGCAUCUUUAUAGAUUUUGCAUAUCUUACAAUAUUUUAUAUAUCGGCUUUCUUUCUUCCAUAUGAUUCUUCUUUAGUAUGCAGACUCUUGAUAGUGAUAUUUUGAGAUAUAAUUAACCAAAUAGAGAAUAGAGCUAUAAAUAUGUCAUACUGAGUAAAUUAUGAUUUUGGCAAAAUUAUGAUUUACAAUGAGUAAUUUUUUUGUUUAUUUCUUAUCAUAAAAGCUUUGGUGCAAUUUGGCCCACUGCUUAGUGGAAGAAAAGUUAUAACUUCAAGACCGAGCGAGAGACAUGAUGGGCUUUGAGAUUUAUAUUCAGAGUAAGGUUCACCGUCUUGGUACUGGACCCUGUACCAGUGCCACACUGGCACUGUGUCGGUACAGUAUGAUAUGAAGAUUUUUCGGCAUGCUAAGUAUCGGUAUGCCUCCCAUACCAGGUACCGGUAUCGGUACAGUACAAUACACUUCAUACCGUCCGAUACAGCAAACCAUGGUUCAGAGUACGAAUCAUACUAAGCAGGAACCACCGAACCAUUCUGAACUGAGCAGUUUGAGGCAUACUGAACUGAACCAGUCCCUAAUCGGGACUAUUCGGAUCUUCAAAAUGGUUUAAGAGAUGAGGGUUUCAGCAGAUUUCUCCCCCAACUCCAAAUCAAGAGUACCUCUUCCCUCCCCUCUCUCUCUUUCUCUCUGAUCCUCCUCUCCCCUCUCCCUCCCUCUCCCUCUCUUCAAUCCUCCUCUCCCCUCUCCCUCUCUCUUCCUAUUCCGAUCCACCUCUCAGCCCGUCCGACAACGAUGCCUCUCCCGCUAUCUAGAGAAAAACUCUAGCACCCCUGUCCAACAACGAUGCCAUUCCUGGUGAGGACCAAGCGAGUCAUCUUCCCUCUCCCUCCCUCCCUCUUCCUCUCCUUGUUUCAAUAUGCAUCGGGUUGGUACGAUACGUACCGAUGCCAUACCGAACCAAUCCCUGGCCGGUACGACCCUCAAUAUCAACUCGGCGAACCUUGAUAUACUAAGUGAGCAAUAGUGCUGACUUAAUGAAACAUGCUCCAAACCCAAGUCUCACAGUCUGCAAAGUUGCUAAUUUGGCUUCAUAACAGAUUUAUUUUUUCUUUUUUUCACACAAUGCAAUGGACAUAGCUUGAAUCUUUGAAUUGUCAUUUAAUAGUUAGCCAAUAAACCAAAUUUAGAUCCAUGUCAUCAUAAAUUGACAUAUUUCUGUGAUUGGAUGCGGAGCUAAUAUUAACCAUCCACCUUUCUCAUCUAGGCUUGGGACCACUCAUGGCGGUGUUCUUGGAAAAUGAGGAUCCAUAUAUCCAACUCCAAAAAAUUAGGAUAAGUCUUCGAUGGUUAUGAUUAUAGUCCUUUUAUCCCAAAGAAAACUUCCUGGAUCUGCCCCUACUUAAAGUUUAAUGACAAAAUUCUUCCAUGCGUCCCUAUUAUAGUUUCAAAAGAGAAAACACGCUAGAAUUUCUUGGGACAGCAAUGAAGACUAUUUUACUUCCUUGAGAUUCACUGUAACAACUAAUUCACCUAUCAUGCAACCCUGUUUAUUUCUCUAAAUUUAGUCAGUUGUAUUGCACUUGACUUUUAUAUUUAAAUAUAUACAGAUGACCUUAUAAUACAAAAUAAAAGUAUUAUGGUAUAAUGACCAACAAUAAACUUUGGGAAAAUGUAGAAAAGGAUCACACUUAGAGUAAAUUAUGAUCACAUAAAUGCAAGAGGUUGUCUCAUCUCAACCGAUACAGAUAAAGGUAGUUAUGAAUCAUAAACCUAUAGAUAUCUAAAGAAAAAGCAAUUCUAAAAAUGAAAAAUUUAACACUGACUGUUGUCAUGCACUCACAGCAUGGAAAAAGAGAAAUAAUUAAUAUAAAGCAUCCAUAUGAUCACCAGUCAAAAACAAAAGCAAAAGGUUGUCAGAAAUGUAAGUUGAGAGUAAUGCAAACCUUCUCCUAUCUGAUAUGUUUUCUAAGCAGGCAAGGGAUGCUGUGCUUCCUGUACCAAGACCAAUCACUAUUCUAGAAUUCACAAGUCCAACUGUCUUCAUAUCAAGAGCAUGCUCCAAUGCAUCUUGUUCUUCAUGUGUUGUCACCAAAGGAAUAAACCAUAUUUCAGAAGCAGUAUUCAGUUAAUGAAUAUAUCAAAUGCUAAACAGUGCAACUCAUCGAACAAAUAAAAAAUCAUUAUGUACUAUUUGACAAGGAUUCAGAAUCCACAUGAAAAGCAUGACACUCACUCCUGAAACCACAGAUAUUCCUCAGUUGCUGCAGAUCAAUGAAAAACACUAGUAAAUAUUUCAGCUACUGCGACUGCAACUACCUGAUAAAUUAAAUGUUGGGAUAAAUGUGUUGCUCGGACUACCUAAAAGAGCAUAACUACAUCUCAUAUAAAGUUCACAUAUUAAUUCUCAUCAUUGAAUGCACAUUCCAUUUCUGGGUGAUACUCCUACCACGUGGAGCCCAACAAAACAUGACUACCUUCAUAAAUUGCCGAGAGCCAUCAGAAAAAAUUAAAUAUCAUCAGCUAGACCAUAUCCAAACAUGUUUAACUUUCCAAGAAUUGCAAAAAUUAUCCAUAGCAGUAGUAAAGGUGGAUAAGCAUCGAUCAGCCUGUUGCGGGUUCAGUCGAGCAAAUUAACACAAGGUCCCACAUUUCUCAAGCCGAAACAGAAAUCUCUCUCAUUACUAGCUGGAAUUCAGAAUUAUAUUGGGAGGAAAGCAACUGCGAUCUUCAUCUAUCACAAUUCAGCUAAUCACAUCAUGAAACUUCCAAAAAAAAAACCCACAAUUACAGCAUUGUUUUUAGCGCAAUUCCCAAAAGAAACUUAAAAGCCAAAAUCCAGAGGACUAGAGGGUAGGGUUUAAGAGGCCAACCACUUGGAUAGCUGCCGCGAUAAGGGAGCCAAUCCCUUGGUCGCCACAUCUCUCGCCUUUCCUCCUCUCUUGGCUCCAAAAUCAAUUAAAUAGAAGAGAAAUCCAUCGCCCCCGAACAAAUGCUCGAAGCUAAUGGCUCCUUGCAUCGCUAGCGCUGCCGAAAUCUAGGGUUUCGGCGGAGAAAGCUCGCACUUUUGGUUUCCUUCUAGGCUUUCGGUCCGGCCUUAAGCGACAGCUCCGGACGACGAAUCCGACUUCCGAGAUAUCGUCAGUUGGGGAGACUUUGGCCGUCUUCGGAGUUCGGAUUCUCUCCGGAACGAGACACCAAGAUACCCAGAGAACCGCGCCGACAGCGAUCUGGUGCGGGAGGCCGUACACAUUACAUCCGUGCGUAUGUCGGAAACAAAAUGCAUGGCAUGGGGAGCAACGCAGAGCGUAGAUCAAAG
Molecule: long non-coding RNA, 6519 nt
Filed under: Phoenix dactylifera (date palm)
Lineage: Eukaryota; Viridiplantae; Streptophyta; Magnoliopsida; Arecales; Arecaceae
Description: long non-coding RNA (PDAC_LNC002487)
Source: RNAcentral